This 791-nucleotide ribosomal RNA is filed under the name uncultured organism. RNAcentral's name for it is "SSU rRNA". It matches the Rfam family "Bacterial small subunit ribosomal RNA", at positions 691 to 1477 of the family's 1533-position model. The record is from RNAcentral.
CAGAUAUCAGGAGGAACACCAGUGGCGAAGGCGGUUCUCUGGGCCUUUCCUGACGCUGAGGAGCGAAAGCGUGGGGAGCGAACAGGCUUAGAUACCCUGGUAGUCCACGCUGUAAACGGUGGGUACUAGGUGUGGGGUCCAUUCCACGGGUUCCGUGCCGUAGCUAACGCUAUAAGUACCCCGCCUGGGGAGUACGGCCGCAAGGCUAAAACUCAAAGGAAUUGACGGGGCCCCGCACAAGCGGCGGAGCAUGCGGAUUAAUUCGAUGCAACGCGUAGAACCUUACCUGGGUUUGACAUGGAUCGGGAGUGCUCAGAGAUGGGUGUGCCUCUUUUGGGGUCGGUUCACAGGUGGUGCAUGCCUGUCGUCAGCUCGUGUCGUGAGAUGUUGGGUUAAGUCCCGCAACGAGCGCAACCCUUGUUCACUGUUGCCAGCACGUUAUGGUGGGGACUCAGUGGAGACCGCCGGGGUCAACUCGGAGGAAGGUGGGGAUGACGUCAAGUCCUCAUGCCCCUUAUGUCCAGGGCUUCACGCAUGCUACAAUGGCUGGUACAGAGAGUGGCGAGCCUGUGAGGGUGAGCGAAUCUCGGAAAGCCGGUCUCAGUUCGGAUUGGGGUCUGCAACUCGACCUCAUGAAGUCGGAGUCGCUAGUAAUCGCAGAUCAGCAACGCUGCGGUGAAUACGUUCCCGGGGCUUGUACACACCGCCCGUCAAGUCAUGAAAGUUGGUAACACCCGAAGCCGGUGGCCUAACCGUUGUGGGGGAGCCGUCGAAGGUGGGACUGGUGAUUA